Podarcis lilfordi (Lilford's wall lizard) is the source of this 4909-nucleotide non-coding RNA. NCBI's taxonomy places the organism in Eukaryota, Metazoa, Chordata, Lepidosauria, Squamata, Lacertidae. The record is from the annotation of a GenBank genome assembly.
GCUUCCUCUUUUCGACCGUGUAUCGGAUUGAUCACAGCGAAAGGAGACGGUUGUAUUUUUCUACAAAUUACCUUGUGUCUUUGGCCUGCUUUAAUUGCGUUAGCUUAUAUUUAAUUGAUAUUUUAGUCCUAUUAAAUUUCCUUUUUCCGUGUAAUAUUUUCUUUUAAUUUUACUCUGCUUUCCCACCCCCCUUUGGUCUUUAAUUCCCCCCUACUCCCCCCCCCUUUAGCUUACCUUAACAUUGGGUCUUCUAAUUUGGUGACAGGCCUCUCCAAGGCCUGUUUUCUUUAAUUCGUUGCCCCGGCUGCCCCUUUUCUGCCAGUCCUGGGUGAAGGGUGGGCCUGGCUGAGGGCGCAGCAGCCUCGGCCUGGCCUUGGGCGGCCGUUUUUUAGGCCUUUUUUGGCGGCGCCUGGUGCCGCACCGCGGCGGGGGGUGCCUCCCGCAUUGCCAGGCCCUUGGGAGGCCUUGCCAUGAGCUCCCCCCCCACCCUAUUCUUUAAAGGGCUGGUUUUGGCCUUGUUAGCCUGGCAGGCCUUCCCUGCGAAACAUUUUAUGUCUGGCCUAGCAGGUGAUCCUAGGGCUUUCCUUGAGAAUUUGAUGGCCUCUGGCAGCAAUUUCCGGCCUGAAUAGCGUCCCCAUGUGGUGCAUGAAGCAUUGGUUUCACUGGUUCCUCACAUUAUUUAGUUUUUUGCAGACUAUGGCAGGGCCUUUGCAGAUGCCUCCAGAGCUUGCCUCUCCUGCAGAGGAUGUUUUGCUGAUGCCCCAGGUGCCUUCUUCUGGAAGAAAGCGUCUUCAGAGGCGGCGAUCCAGGAGGGGAGGGCAAAGAAGAGCAGAGAUGAUACUUAUACUUCCUCACAGGGAGUGGACUAGAAGAUUGUUGGUGUCCCUUCCAACUCUACGAUUCUAUAAGUAGCAAUUCACUAUGAUGGGGAUGUUAGACGCAGGGCUGCCAUCAUCCCCACAGCUUGCUGGGAUCGCAGGGAGGGGGACGUGUGGACCACUUGCGCAGCUCCACAUUUCAAAUGGAAAUUCCCUGAGCAGUAGAACCUGAAACUGGUGUGCAGGAAGCUGGCCCGGCGGCAGCUUUGUUGUUUAGGGGUUCUGGACAGUGGCAGCCCUGUAAAUUCACACAUCUUAGGUGGCAGCACAAGACGCCCCCUGCCCAAGCAGGGGCUGGGAGCUGGCAAGCAAUAGCUCCUCAUCUCUGGCCCAUAUUCCCAUAAAAUUAUCUCCCUCGAAAGCCUGGCUAAAAGGUUAUCUAGAGGAGUCAGCGACUUUGUGCUUGUGGAAAGGGUUUUCUCAAGGUUUAGGAUUCCUCUGGCUUUUCAGCCAGUGGCACGGAAUACAGCAAAUCAAAAGUCAGUUAGAGAGCCACCUGAGGUAGCCAGAAAGAAGGUCAGGUAGCAGCUUGCAUUGGGACGUAUGGUGGGACCCCUAAGAAAGCCCCAUAUAAUUCCAUCUGAUCCUUAUUUAUCGCAUCCCUAAGGCACCUCAGUGAAUCACGCUAUCCUUAAGGAAUUGUUCCGCGAAGUUCACGUCUUUGGAGCAGGCGGUUGAGCUUACCACAAAAUUGGAAGAGGUGCCUUGUUGGCAAUAUGCUAUAUUGAAACGGCUGUUAGGCUGCUGCUGGUUCACCCACGAGAUUUUAAGUGGUUGGGCUUUAAUUUGGAUGGGGCUCCUUAUAUUGAUAAGGCGAUGCCGAUGGGUUGCACAAUAGACUGUGCAGCACUCGAGUCCUUUAGCGCCUUUCUGGAUUGAACAGUGCGAGUCUAUACUCAUUUAACUGGGGGUACCAUUUUUUGGAUUAUUUUACUGGCUGGUUCAUGUGACACCAGCCUCUGUGUAGGCUUGCUAGACAUCCUUUAUUCCCUCUGAGGAGCUGGGUGUUUCAUAGGCAGUGGAUGGGACCCCCUCUUAAUAUUUGGGGGUUAGCUGGAUACCGUUGCUCAAACAUCUGCUUGCCUGUGGGGAAGCUGUUUGCCUUCAAGGAAGUUAUUUUGUUAUACUUCUUCUGAAGCAAGUGUUGCUUUGUCAAAUCCUAUCAUUUGCUAGGUCAGUUAAAUUAAUUUUGCAUGCAGCUUGGUUGCCCCAGGCCACCCCUUCCGUUCCCACUUGGCCAGGCUGCCUGUGGCCCGAGGUCCCCUUACCUUCGUGUACGCUUACCAAGUGAGGGGGAAGGCGGAUCUCAUGCGGUGGUUGCAGUUCCUAAAUGGAUGCAAUAGUAGUUCACCAUGGCAGGAUACCUUGAACCUGCACAGCAAUUUUCAGGUUCAUGCUGAUGCUGCUGGAUCUUUGGCCUUUGGUUUUUAUUUCAGGGGCUGUUGGUGUGCAAAGCCAUGGCCUCAAGCCUGGUGUGGUGAGGCUGUCAUGUGUCCUAACUUUGCUUGAGUUUUCCCCAUUGUAGUAGCAGUUCACAUCUGGACCGAGGAGUUCAGUGACCGUUGGAUCGGCUUUUGGCCUGAUAACCAGGCAGUGGUGAGCAUCUUGGCAGAACAGUCCUCACGCUCCAGCAGAGUCUCCACCCCUCCGCUCACGCUUUUGAGCUGCACUGCUUAAGGUUUAAUAUUGUGCUUGCUGCUCACCUGAUUAUGGGAUCCUCUAAUUAUAUUGCUGACACUCUAUCCCAUUUUCAGAUGGAGUGCUUCAGAUCCUGGGCUCCAGACUCUCAGCUAUUGCCGGACUUUUCCGGACCACCUGUUGCACUUUGACAACAAUUAGUAAUUACAGGGAGUAGCAGUUUCCAUUCCCCUUCUGCUUUUAGCUCUUAUGAGAAGGCCUGGAUGGAUUUCUUAGGGUUUAGUUGACAGCCCUUGGCCAUUCAGAGGAACUUGCCCCCAUCCACUGAGCAGAUCCUGCAGUAUUUUGGUCCACCUGCUGCAGAUUGGAUGUGCUGUUAAAACUAUCAGUAUUCAGUCUGCUGCAAUGUCUGUUAAAGUAAAGCUUUAAUUUGCAGAGACCCUGGUAUAAAGUCUGUUGUGUGCAGGGCCUUGGAAGGUUGGAAUAGGCUCCAACCUCAUACGACAGUGGGCAGGAAGUCGGUCAGUUUUUACCUAUGCAGUAUCUGCAACAAGUUAUAACUUGUCUGCUGGUUAAAGAUCAAGGCGAGACUCCUUUCAGUAUUCCAUUGCAUUUUUGGUGCACUGAGGGUUGGGGAAAUUGUGUUGGAGCCAGCACGGGGCUGAGAGUAUGGAGGCUUAUUGCUUCAGGACUUUUCCUUAUCUGCUUUGGAGCUGGUCAUUAGAGUUGGGAACUCUAAAACAGACCUAGUGGGCAGGAGUGCCACCAUUAGGCUUCCCCUCACAGGUGAGGAGGGCCUUUGCCCAGUUAUGGAUACCAGAAAUAUUUGGCUUUUCAUUCCCCUGGGGGCUGGCCUGCUCCUAGUCCAUGAAAAUGGGUUCCCAUUAGCCAGGCAUCAAUGUGCUUACAUCGUGCACCAGUUAUUAUGGCCUGCGGCAUGCCUACCGCUGAACACGCCUCAUUCCUUCCGAAUAGGGCUGCUGCAAAGGCUGCACACUGGGGGCCUGUCAGUAGACAGGAUUGUGAAUACGGGUCAUUGGAAGUCUGAUGCUGACAAGGGUUACAUCAGGAAGUGUCACCAAUGAUGUCUGUGCUGAUGCCUGUCUGUUAUUUCCUUUUUUCAUAGGAGCAGCUGUGCACAUUUGGAUUGUCGGUCACAGCAUUGUACACUGGGCUGGCAAGCGCGCUGACGAGUCUGGACUGGGGCGCCAUCUCAGUCUUCCUGCCCAUGUGAACAUAUACUGGGUGUCCAGAUGGGGAAUGCUUUGGAAGGAGUUCCUUCCUUUGGUGCGGUCGAGUGUGACCUGUGCAGGUCCUCCCGCAGUGCUAGUGGUGCAGCUGGACGAGAAUAACUUGCCGUCUUCUUACAGCAUAAGUUUGCGUUCCUGCAUGCAGGAGGACUUGGAUGAGUUGAUGGCAGCUCUCCCUGGACUCAAAAUAAUUUAAGGCAUUGGUUCAAGGUGGUCUGGAGGGGGGGUCGGAGCACCUGUCCCCUCCAAUGCGCAAAGGUAAUCCUUUAAAGGAAUCCAAGGAUUCGCCAUGCUUUUGUCGACCCCUUUUGAGGGGUAGGGCCACGCAAGGGUCCCUGGAGCAUUUGGGGUGCGCUUGAGUCUGAUCCUGGUUCAUUGCUCCCCCACGAUGUUUGCUUGUACUGACGAUAUGGUGGGGCCCAGUCGUCAGUGCUGCCCUGCUGCGGUCAGGUGCAGAUAGUUGGAACCAAUGCCUAGACAAACUACCACCGAGCAGGCCAGAAAGCAUGUUAAUAAGGCGGUGGAAAAUAAAAUAAAAUAAAAUAAAAUAAAUAAAUAAAAUAAAAUAACCAAUAAAAUAAAAUAGGUCCUUGCUUUAGGUGGUUCUGCGAUAUUGCACCCUGCUAUUUCCUUCAAGGCUGUUGCCCUCUUUAGGGCAGAUGGGGUACAUCUUUCCCCUAUAGGGAAUGACACCUGGCUGGAUGCGGUUGCUUUGGGAUUGAAGGAAGGGUUGCAGUUGUGAGUGGUUGGUGGCGAGCUUGAGUGCUCGGUGGCGGUUAGGCAUUGGUUUAUGGUUUGGUUGGUUGAGGGGAAGUGGUUGAGUGCCUGCCCUUGGUAGGUUGAGUGCCUGCCCCUCUAAUGCUGCUGCGGCAAGGGAUUCCGUUAAAGGAAUUGGGGGCUAACUAUUGCUUGUCCACUCUGUCAAGGGGGCUCGGGCCAUAGCAAUGAGCUCCUGGUUGCAUUUGGGGUGAGGGCAGGUUCCCUGCUCCACGUAACCCCCAAGUGUAUUCCCCUAUUCUGAUUUUCGCAUCGUGCGGAAUGUCAGUCUGUCCCCCAUGGUGGGGGCAGAUAGUCGGAACCAAUGCCUAAGCAACUACUCACAAAUUUGUAUUUCAAUAAAGUUGUGGCCAAAAUUAUGCCAAA